AACCGGUCAAAGACUCGUGCCUGCGGUGGUCGGCCGGCUGACGUUGCAGCUUGCUACCGGCAAUUUAAUCUCUGCGGUGGCAACAGUUGUAGUGCUGUACUCUUAGAUGUGCAAUAUUCUUAAGACAUGGACAUGUCUUUUAUUUUGGACUGUUCGUGGUUAUGGUGCUAUACAGUGUUGUAAUUUUUCAGCUAAAUUUGUGAUAAGUUAAUAGCACGGCUUGUCUCCUUUCCAAGC
Molecule: long non-coding RNA, 237 nt
Filed under: Eucalyptus grandis
Lineage: Eukaryota; Viridiplantae; Streptophyta; Magnoliopsida; Myrtales; Myrtaceae
Description: long non-coding RNA (EGRA_LNC007641)
Source: RNAcentral